UACGGAGGGAGCUAGCGUUGUUCGGAAUUACUGGGCGUAAAGCGCACGUAGGCGGCUAUUCAAGUCGGGGGUGAAAGCCCGGGGCUCAACCCCGGAACUGCCCUCGAAACUAGAUAGCUAGAAUCUUGGAGAGGCGAGUGGAAUUCCGAGUGUAGAGGUGAAAUUCGUAGAUAUCAGGAGGAACACCGAUGGCGAAGGCAGCUCACUGGGACGGUACUGACGCUCAGGCGCGACAGCGUGGGGAUCAAACAGG
RNAcentral lists this ribosomal RNA (253 nucleotides) under uncultured bacterium. RNAcentral describes it as "partial 16S ribosomal RNA". It matches the Rfam family "Bacterial small subunit ribosomal RNA", at positions 524 to 776 of the family's 1533-position model. The record is from RNAcentral.